RNAcentral lists this transfer RNA (69 nucleotides) under Breviceps adspersus (bushveld rain frog). Its description in RNAcentral is "tRNA-Asp". The record is from RNAcentral. Lineage: Eukaryota; Metazoa; Chordata; Amphibia; Anura; Brevicipitidae.
GAGGGGUUAGUUAAAUAAUAACAUGACCUUGUCAGAGUCAAAUAACAAGUUAAACCCAUGUACUCCUCC